RNAcentral lists this ribosomal RNA (372 nucleotides) under uncultured organism. Its description in RNAcentral is "bacterial SSU rRNA". It matches the Rfam family "Bacterial small subunit ribosomal RNA", at positions 526 to 896 of the family's 1533-position model. The record is from RNAcentral.
CGUAGGGGGCAAGCGUUGUCCGGAAUUACUGGGCGUAAAGGGAGCGUAGGCGGUCUUUUAAGUUAGAUGUGAAAUACCCGGGCUUAACUUGGGAGGUGCAUCUAAAACUGGGGGACUUGAGUGCAGGAGAGGAAAGUGGAAUUCCUAGUGUAGCGGUGAAAUGCGUAGAUAUUAGGAGGAACACCAGUGGCGAAGGCGACUUUCUGGACUAUAACUGACGCUGAGGCUCGAAAGCGUGGGGAGCAAACAGGAUUAGAUACCCUGGUAGUCCACGCUGUAAACGAUGAAUACUAGGUGUAGGGGGUAUCGACUCCCCCUGUGCCGCAGCUAACGCAAUAAGUAUUCCGCCUGGGGAGUACGGCCGCAAGGUUG